This 1194-nucleotide long non-coding RNA is filed under the name Helianthus annuus (common sunflower). RNAcentral describes it as "hypothetical non coding rna". Lineage: Eukaryota; Viridiplantae; Streptophyta; Magnoliopsida; Asterales; Asteraceae. The record is from RNAcentral.
CAUUUCCUCCCAUCUCACUUGUUGUCGCCUAUUUUAUGUAUUUUAUACUUUCUUAGUAUUACACCCCUAAAUACUACAAAGCCCUGCCCAAUUUUAAGUAUUGUAGCCCCUGAUCACCGAUACCCUGUCCAAGUGACGUAGGACCCCGUAACGUAUGUCAAAGCUCUGCCUAAAUUCGUUGGGGUUCUGUCUCGUGACGUAGGGAUAAAGUAGAAUUGGGUUACCAUACUUAAUGUGAGUACACUAUAUAUUUUAUUAAAUAAUCCAGGAGUUGUACCCAAAAUAUAACAACCCUCCUGAAUAUUUUUCUGACACCCUACACUACCUAAAAUACACCCCGUAUGCGAAAACCGAGCCCAAAAUAUGUUAAAACGUUAAAAAUUAAAUAAAACAAUUUUCCAGAAACGCUCGCGGGCCGCGUAGCCUUUGGCUACCUCUUACGCGGGCCGCGACAGAUAAGAGAUAAGGAGAAACCCGGUGCUCACACGUGUCGAUGACUCAGCAACUCAUUCGCCGCCAUUGAGCCCUCGCGGGCCGCGUAAAACCUUUCCUAUCUCUUACGCGGGCCGCGUAAAACGGAGAAUCAGGCCCUAUAAAUAGAGACCUUCGGCCGUUCAUUUGAAAUCGCACCAAAAUUCUUUCUCUCUCGAAUUUCUGAAGAAUUAAAGUAAUUCUCGGGCAUUAUACCCCCUAAUUAGUGAAGCUCUGCCUCGUUGUAAGUAUCAUAACCCCUGGAUACGUAUUAGAUACUCUGCCCGAUUGAUCUAGGGUUCCGUAACGGCUGUCGUGGUUCUGCCCGACGUAGUCGUUGGAAGGCCGUCUCGGGGAGGAUAUUACUAAUGUUAAAAUGGGUUAUUAUACUAACGCGUGUGCAUUGUUUAUUCAACUAGAUUAUAACCAGGAAGCCACAAAGGAAAUACCUAAAAUAGCAAUGUAACUUAGUAUGAAGAACAUAAAAGCCAGCUGGAGUGUCACACCCCCAAAAUCCACCCGCGGAGUACCACCGCUUGGGAGUGCGACUGACCAGGAUCAAGCCAUCAAUCAUAUCAAACAUAGCAUUUAAUAAUAAAAGUAAUCAAUGUAAAUCAUCAUGACAUGAUUGAUGUUCCAAAACCAAACAUCGUUUAAAUAGCGGAAGCAUAGUAUGUAAUCUCAAAAUAGUUAUAAGUUCAAUAUCGUUCAUGAUCCGUAUCC